GAUGAACGCUGGCGGCGUGCCUAAUACAUGCAAGUCGAGCGAACAGACGAGGAGCUUGCUCCUCUGACGUUAGCGGCGGACGGGUGAGUAACACGUGGAUAACCUACCUAUAAGACUGGGAUAACUUCGGGAACCCGGAGCUAAUACCGGAUAAUAUAUUGAACCGCAUGGUUCAAUAGUGAAAGACGGUUUUGCUGGCACUUAUAGAUGGAUCCGCGCCGCAUUAGCUAGUUGGUAAGGUAACGGCUUACCAAGGCGACGAUGCGUAGCCGACCUGAGAGGGUGAUCGGCCACACUGGAACUGAGACGCGGUCCAGCCUCCUACGGGAGGCAGCAGUAGGGAAUCUUCCGCAAUGGGCGAAAGCCUGACGGAGCAACGCCGCGUGAGUGAUGAGGGUCUUCGGAUCGUAAAACUCUGUUAUUAGGGAAGAACAAAUGUGUAGGUAACUAUGCACGUCUUGACGGUACCUAAUCAGAAAGCCACGGCUAACUACGUG
RNAcentral lists this ribosomal RNA (497 nucleotides) under uncultured bacterium. Its description in RNAcentral is "partial 16S ribosomal RNA". It matches the Rfam family "Bacterial small subunit ribosomal RNA", at positions 28 to 507 of the family's 1533-position model. The record is from RNAcentral.